UACGUAGGGUGCGAGCGUUGUCCGGAAUUACUGGGCGUAAAGAGCUCGUAGGUGGUUUGUCGCGUUGUUCGUGAAAACCGGGGGCUUAACCCUCGGCGUGCGGGCGAUACGGGCAGACUUGAGUACUGCAGGGGAGACUGGAAUUCCUGGUGUAGCGGUGGAAUGCGCAGAUAUCAGGAGGAACACCGGUGGCGAAGGCGGGUCUCUGGGCAGUAACUGACGCUGAGGAGCGACAGCGUGGGUAGCAAACAGG
RNAcentral lists this ribosomal RNA (253 nucleotides) under uncultured bacterium. Its description in RNAcentral is "partial 16S ribosomal RNA". It matches the Rfam family "Bacterial small subunit ribosomal RNA", at positions 524 to 776 of the family's 1533-position model. The record is from RNAcentral.